AACCCCUACGAAAGCAUCGUCAAAUAAGUGUGCUAGGGCGCCGAUGUCUGCGGCCCAAAGAAAAUUGCCUGUGUUUAGCGUGGUGUGCCCUGCACCGCCGUUCUCUGCGGUCAGCGGCGGCGAGGGAAGCGACGUAAACAACAAAGCCCGGACGCCCGCCAGGACGCGGGGGUUAAAUUUCACCUUCAUCUCGGCUCCAAAGCUGCUGGCGAUGGUUUUGAGGCUCCUUCCUUCAGUUUAACCUGCCGCACUACACCAGGAGCCAUGAUGCAAUCCCUUGAUUUAUGAUCUCGGCACAUUUGUAGUAUCGAGGGGCCUCCCUACUGCUCUUGGCAGUACAGUUCUUGGCCUCAAGAUGGCUGUAUCUCUGACAAUGAUAACAUGUAAUUGCAUGAUACACAAGUACCAAGUGGUAUUAACAUCAAGAACAGCCUGGACUUCCUGACUCAACCAAAUAUAUUUUGGUCAAGUCAUUACAAAUAUUCAUGGAGUAGCAAGACAGAGUGCAAGAACAAGGAACGAAAAUUGAACUAUAAAACCUAUUGCCAGAAUUUGCAGUAUUAGAUACUGGUUUUGGUAAGGAUGUAUAUGAAUUAAUGUGUUAUCAUCUGAAAAAACUAUACAUUAUGUAAGAAGAGAAAGUGAAAAUAUUACAACAAAGUGUAAUGUAUGUCUAAAAUUAGAAAAGAAAUGUAUAACUGAAAACAGCUGCUGUGACAGCUAAUAGUGCAAUACUUUGAGUGAUUUAGAUUUUUGCAUUUAGUCAAUAAAAAUGUUCAAGAGUGCUGAAUGUGAACAGUGUGGAAAAUGUUUCACAAGAAAUAGCCACCUUACUAGGCACAGGCUUAUUCAUACAGGUGAGAAAAAAUUUGAAUGUCAGCAAUGUGGUAAAUUUUUUAACAGAAAAGGAGACCUUACCAGACACAUGCUCACUCACACUGGCAUUAAGAAUUUCAAGUGUGAGGAAUGUGGAAAGAUGUUUAACAGAAACAGCCACCUUACAAGACACAGCAGAGUGCAUCUUGAUACCAAGCAGUUCAUAUGUAAGGAUUUUGGAACUCUGUUCAUUGGGAAUGACAAUUCUAGUCAAAUGGUAACACACACAAAUAUGAAACAAUUUAAGUGUGAGCUGUGUGGCAAAGUGUUUACCAGAAAUAGCCAUCUUACCAGACACAUGUUAAUUCAUUCUGGUAUAAAGCAAUUUGUAUGUGAUGAGUGUGAUAAACCAUUCCAUAGAAAAAGUGAUCUGAACAGACAUAAAUUGACACAUAAAUAAUGUCAAAGAAGAGUAAUUUCUCUAGACUUCUGUUAAUACUUACCAUUAAAAGAGUAACCAUUUUCUAGGAAUAAUGCCCUGACAAAUGCAAUGAUUGGACAUUAUGUAAGGAAUUUUGACAUCUGAUAAAUGCUAUAAUUUUUAAAGAAAACUUUUAGAUAAUUAAGUAUCAGUUACAAAUAUACAUAAGAUUCUGUAAUGACAAUUUCAGUGAUGUUAACAUAUCUUGUUAUGCAAUGGAAAGUAUCUUUCAAAAAGCUCUGUAUUUGACGGUUUAUAAGACGCACUUUUUUUUCCCCAGAAAAUGUCCCAGAAAAUCACCCCGAGUCUAAUAAGGUCAAGGUUCAGCUUUGGGUUACUGGCUAGUGGAGUUUUAGCCCUGCAGUGGCACUUAAAUUAAACCUCAAACAUAUCCGCAGACGUAAACAAGAUGGUGAUCGCUUCUUCACCAACAACGGGAACUCUUUUCUAAAGUAACAAUACAUAACGGUAGUACUUACCACUACAUUAUAUAAAAUAUCACCAGUCAAGAAGAAAAUUAAGUCAAGACACUUAGCCAUGCUUUUACCUAAACAAACCUGCGGUCGGUUGUACACCAAACCACACGUGCAAGACACACUUUCUUUUGUUUUAAGUGUACAAAAUAUUCAAACAAAAAAUACGAUGUAGAGCACA
Molecule: long non-coding RNA, 1951 nt
Organism: Eriocheir sinensis (Chinese mitten crab)
Lineage: Eukaryota; Metazoa; Arthropoda; Malacostraca; Decapoda; Varunidae
Exons: 4
Source: RefSeq, a predicted model, not a curated record